UACGGGAGGCAGCAGGGGGGAAUAUUGCACAAUGGGCGAAAGCCUGAUGCAGCUAUGCCGCGUGUAUGAAGAAGGCCUUAGGGUUGUAAAGUACUUUCAUCGGGGAGGAAAAAACAAAACUAAUAAUUUUAUUUCUUGACGUUACCCGAAAAAGAAGCACCGGCUAACUCCGUGCCAGCAGCCGCGGUAAUACGGAGGGUGCAAGCGUUAAUCGGAAUUACUGGGCGUAAAGCGCACGCAGGCGGUCUGUCAAGUCGGAUGUGAAAUCCCCGGGCUUAACCUGGGAACUGCAUUCGAAACUGGCAGGCUAGAGUCUUGUAGAGGGGGGUAGAAUUCCAGGUGUAGCGGUGAAAUGCGUAGAGAUCUGGAGGAUACCGGUGGCGAAGGCGGCCCCUGGACAAAGACUGACGCUCAGGGUGCGAAAGCGUGGGGAGCAAACGAGGGAUUAGAUACCCGU
Molecule: ribosomal RNA, 457 nt
Filed under: uncultured bacterium
Lineage: Bacteria
Description: bacterial SSU rRNA
Rfam family: Bacterial small subunit ribosomal RNA
Source: RNAcentral